RNAcentral lists this ribosomal RNA (506 nucleotides) under uncultured bacterium. RNAcentral's name for it is "partial 16S ribosomal RNA". It matches the Rfam family "Bacterial small subunit ribosomal RNA", at positions 29 to 523 of the family's 1533-position model. The record is from RNAcentral.
AGUGAACGCUGGCGGUAGGCCUAACACAUGCAAGUCGAACGGCAGCACAGGAGAGCUUGCUCUCUGGGUGGCGAGUGGCGGACGAGUGAGGAAUACAUCGGAAUCUACUCUGUCGUGGGGGAUAACGUACGGAAACUUACGCUAAUACCGCAUACGACCUACGGGUGAAAGCAGGGGACCUUCGGGCCUUGCGCGAUUGAAUGAGCCGAUGUCGGAUUAGCUAGUUGGCGGGGUAAAGGCCCACCAAGGCGACGAUCCGGAGCUGGUCUGAGAGGAUGAUCAGCCACACUGGAACUGAGACACGGUCCAGACUCCUACGGGAGUCAGCAGUGGGGAAUAUUGGACAAUGGGCGCAAGCCUGAUCCGGCCAUACCGCGUGGGUGAAGAAGGCCUUCGGGUUGUAAAGCCCUUUUGUUGGGAAAGAAAUCCAGCUGGCUAAUACCCGGUUGGGAUGACAGUGCUCAAAGAAUAAGCACCGGCUAACUUCGUGCCAGCCGCCGCCGUAA